CAUUAUCGAUAAUAAUAUACAUGCCCUAUACCAGUCAUGUAUUUAGCAAUUUAUAUUGCAUACACAUAUUCACAUUGUUAGAUUGUAUUCACAAUACAAAAGGACCCAUGACUUCCAGCGGAGACAUUUACAAUAAAAGGGAUUACUAUCGAAUGCCAGACACAUACCCAGGAGAUGCACUACGGGGACUCCUCGAUCUAGGGUC
Molecule: long non-coding RNA, 205 nt
Filed under: Theobroma cacao (cacao)
Lineage: Eukaryota; Viridiplantae; Streptophyta; Magnoliopsida; Malvales; Malvaceae
Description: long non-coding RNA (TCAC_LNC001263)
Source: RNAcentral